This is a non-coding RNA of Triticum aestivum (bread wheat), 135 nucleotides long. The record is from Rfam. NCBI's taxonomy places the organism in Eukaryota, Viridiplantae, Streptophyta, Magnoliopsida, Poales, Poaceae.
CUAAUACUCCCUCCGUCCGAAAAUACUUGUCAUCAAAAUGGAUAAAAGGGGAUGUAUCUAGAUGUAUUUUAGUUCUAGAUACAUCUCUUUUUAUCCAUUUUGAUGACAUGUAUUCUCGGACGGAGGGAGUAUUAA